Molecule: ribosomal RNA, 385 nt
Filed under: Heyndrickxia coagulans
Lineage: Bacteria; Bacillati; Bacillota; Bacilli; Caryophanales; Bacillaceae
Description: bacterial SSU rRNA
Rfam family: Bacterial small subunit ribosomal RNA
Source: RNAcentral
UUUACUGAGAGUUUGAUCCUGGCUCAGGACGAACGCUGGCGGCGUGCCUAAUACAUGCAAGUCGUGCGGACCUUUUAAAAGCUUGCUUUUAAAAGGUUAGCGGCGGACGGGUGAGUAACACGUGGGCAACCUGCCUGUAAGAUCGGGAUAACGCCGGGAAACCGGGGCUAAUACCGGAUAGUUUUUUCCUCCGCAUGGAGGAAAAAGGAAAGACGGCUUUUGCUGUCACUUACAGAUGGGCCCGCGGCGCAUUAGCUAGUUGGUGGGGUAACGGCUCACCAAGGCAACGAUGCGUAGCCGACCUGAGAGGGUGAUCGGCCACAUUGGGACUGAGACACGGCCCAAACUCCUACGGGAGGCAGCAGUAGGGAAUCUUCCGCAAUGG